Molecule: ribosomal RNA, 478 nt
Filed under: uncultured bacterium
Lineage: Bacteria
Description: bacterial SSU rRNA
Rfam family: Bacterial small subunit ribosomal RNA
Source: RNAcentral
GAUGAACGCUGGCGGCGUGCUUAACACAUGCAAGUCGAACGGAGUUUUAAAGUGGAAGUUUUCGGAUGGAAACUUUAAAACUUAGUGGCGGACGGGUGAGUAACGCGUGGGUAACCUGCCUCACACAGGGGGAUAACACUUAGAAAUAGGUGCUAAUACCGCAUAAGCGCACAGUACCGCAUGGUACCGUGUGAAAAACUCCGGUGGUGUGAGAUGGACCCGCGUCUGAUUAGCUAGUUGGUGAGGUAACGGCCCACCAAGGCGACGAUCAGUAGCCGGCCUGAGAGGGUGAACGGCCACAUUGGGACUGAGACACGGCCCAAACUCCUACGGGAGGCAGCAGUGGGGAAUAUUGCACAAUGGGGGAAACCCUGAUGCAGCGACGCCGCGUGAGUGAAGAAGUAUUUCGGUAUGUAAAGCUCUAUCAGCAGGGAAGAAAAUGACGGUACCUGACUAAGAAGCCCCGGCUAACUACGUG